This 473-nucleotide ribosomal RNA is filed under the name uncultured bacterium. Its description in RNAcentral is "bacterial SSU rRNA". It matches the Rfam family "Bacterial small subunit ribosomal RNA", at positions 355 to 825 of the family's 1533-position model. The record is from RNAcentral.
UGGGGAAUUGUUCACAAUGGGCGCAAGCCUGAUGACGCAACGCCGCGUGGGGGAUGAAGGUCUUCGGAUUGUAAACCCCUGUCGAAUGGGACGAAAGACUCGCGAGUUAAUACUUCGCGGGAGUGACGGUACCGUUAAAGGAAGCCACGGCUAACUCUGUGCCAGCAGCCGCGGUAAUACAGAGGUGGCAAGCGUUGUUCGGAAUUACUGGGCGUAAAGGGCGCGUAGGCGGCCUACUAAGUCAGACGUGAAAUCCCCCGGCUUAACCUGGGAACUGCGUCUGAUACUGGAAGGCUUGAGUAUGGGAGAGGGAUGUAGAAUUCCAGGUGUAGCGGUGAAAUGCGUAGAUAUCUGGAGGAAUACCGGUGGCGAAGGCGGCAUCCUGGACCAUUACUGACGCUGAGGCGCGAAAGCUAGGGGAGCAAACGGGAUUAGAUACCCCAGUAGUCCCUGAGCGGGCUGGCAAGGCGCAU